This 117-nucleotide transfer RNA is filed under the name Brucella melitensis NI. RNAcentral's name for it is "tRNA-Ser". Lineage: Bacteria; Pseudomonadati; Pseudomonadota; Alphaproteobacteria; Hyphomicrobiales; Brucellaceae. The record is from RNAcentral.
CUGCGCGUUGAGCAGCACGGCCUUGGCCGCCUGCUGAUCGGCAUUUGCCUGCAACAGCGCGGCCUUGGCGGCAUCGGUCUGGGCCUGGAUGCGGAUGAGCGUUUCUUUUUGCGUGGC